RNAcentral lists this long non-coding RNA (222 nucleotides) under Lathyrus oleraceus (garden pea). RNAcentral's name for it is "Pisum sativum (pea) long non-coding RNA (PSAT_LNC009660)". Lineage: Eukaryota; Viridiplantae; Streptophyta; Magnoliopsida; Fabales; Fabaceae. The record is from RNAcentral.
GCUAGAUGAAAAGAAUAAAAUAGUCCAGGCAAAAAUGGGCAUCCCGGCGAACCAAGAAAAAAAAAGAGAAAAGGUUCGGGAAAAAAUUAGGGAUAAAAAGAAAAAAAAAUUGUACACCCGGCAAGUCAAAAACCAGAAAAGGCGACUUGGGCAAAAAAAGGGUAUCCCGGUGGACUGAAGACCCGAAAGGGCGGUCCAGGCAAAAGAGGGAUUGAAACGAAC